This is a long non-coding RNA of Esox lucius (northern pike), 2089 nucleotides long. NCBI's taxonomy places the organism in Eukaryota, Metazoa, Chordata, Actinopteri, Esociformes, Esocidae. The record is from Ensembl.
CUCAAGGGAAGCAGUAUUUUAUAACUUCAAUCAUUUCAAGACACUUCAACAAUGUACCUGUCACAAUACUUCCAAUUACUUUUCUUCAUUAGCUGUACCACAUUUCAGAAAAUAAUCGACUCUCUCCAUUAUCUGAGCCAGUUUGGACCCCUCCACCUAAUUCCUCUAGACCAGUUCACCUUCAAUGUGUUGAGUAGUGUUCCCAAGGAUGUUCUGUGUUCAUGGCUGACCAGUCAGAUGAAUGGAGGACCUCCCACAUCUGGAGUGGAUCCCUCCCAGAACCAGGGACAAUGGCAACAUUUACUUUGGAGAACGCCUCCCUCUGCAUGUCAGAACAAGCCCAACACAGCUCCAGCCACCAUCCAGACGAACUCCAGCUAUGGACAAGAUCCAGAUGACUUCAUGGACUGGACGGAGGGCCCCCAGAAGGAUAAGAACAAAAUUGGUCAAUGGCAGAAUAAAUACCCCUGUCGUCAGGUUGAGGAACCUAUGGACGUUGAUGUUGUGGGCAACAAACAUUUACCUCCAAAUAGGCCUCUCUCUGCAUGUCAGAACCAGCCCAACACAGCUCCAGCCGCCAUCCAGAAUAAGUCUUGCUAUGGACAAGGUCAAGAUGACUUCAUGGACUGGACAGAGGGCCCCCAGAAGGAUAAGAAGAAAAUGGGUCUAUGGAAGAAUAAAUACCCCUGUCAUCAGGAUGAGCAACCUAUGGACGUUGAUGUUGUGGACCACAAACAUUUACUUCCAAAUAGGCCUCUCUCUGCAAGUCAGAACCAGCCCAAUACAGCUCCAGCCGCCAUCCAGAAAAAGUCUUGCUAUGGAAAAGAUAAAGAUGACUUCAUGGACUGGACAGAGGGCCCACAGAAGGAUAAUAUGAAAAUUGGUCUAUGGCAGAAUCAAUACCCCUGUCGUCAGGUUGAGCAACCUAUGGAUGUUGAUGUUGUGGACAACAAACAUCUACCUCCAAAUAGGCCUCUCUCUGCAAGUCAGAACCAGCCCAAUACAGCUCCAGCCGCCAUCCAGAAAAAGUCUUGCUAUGGAAAAGAUCAAGAUGACUUCAUGGACUGGACAGAGGGCCCACAGAAGGAUAAUAUGAAAAUUGGUCUAUGGCAGAAUAAAUAUCCCUGUCGUCAGGUUGAGCAACCUAUGGAUGUUGAUGUUGUGGACAACAAACAUCUACCUCCAAAUAGGACUCUCUCUGCAAGUCAGAACCAGCCCAAUACAGCUCCAGCCACUAUCCAGAAAAAGCCCUGCUAUGGACAAGAUCCAGAUAACUUCAUGGACUGGACAGAGGGCCCACAGAAGGAUAAUAUGAAAAUCGGUCUAUGGCAGAAUAAAUACCCCUGUCGUCAGGUUGAGCAACCUAUGGAUAUUGAUGUGGACAACAAUCAAUCAAGAUUAAGUAGCAAAAACACAGUGAGUCCAAGCCAAUCAGCUGGUACAACCAAAACAACCGUCUGGCGCCGCUCAUCAAAAGCAGCUACUCGUUGGUCAUUCUCACAUCAGAACAAAGUGAAAUGUUGGCCAUACAGUCAGACAACCCGUAUCCAGGCAACCAGGCAACAGACACCAAAUGUCACGGCCUGAUUCCUUCUGAAACCCUGCCUGUCCCAGACCACGUACCUGCCUGCCGCCCGUCUGUCUCUCAAGUUCAUCGAUCUGGUACCGAACCUCUGCCUGACCUCAACCACAUACCUGCCUGCCGCCCAUCUGUCCCUCAAGCUCAUCGAUGGUGUUCUGAACCUCUACCUGACCUCGACCCCAUACCUGCCUGCCGCCUGUCUGUCCCUAAAGCUCAUCGAUGGUGUACCGAACCUCUGCCUGACCUCGACCACGUACCUGCCUGCUGCCCAUCUGUCCCACAAGCUCGUCGAUGGUGUACCGAACCUCUGCCUGACCUCGACCACAUACCUGCCUGCCGCCCGUCUGUCCCUCAAGCUCAUCGAUCGUGUACCAAACCUCAGCCUGUCCUCGACCACAUACCUGCCUGCUGGCCGUCUAAAUAAACACUCCAUUUUGGCAUGUAUCUUUGAUUGCAGUUCAGUAUUCUUUUGCAAUCUCCAUUUGGUUACUCUGCACCCUAAAAAAC